UCCGCCGUGGGCAAGCUGGGUCUGCGGGAGAGCCGGUGGGCUGGUUCCAGCCGAGAGCCGCUAGGCUCAAGACCCAGGAGGAGCCCAUGUUUCGAUCCAGUCCAGAGCAGGAGAGAACGGAAGCGCCAGCUCCAGAGGCACACGGAGGAGGAGCAAGGAACAAGGCAUAAAUGGAGUCAGGGUCUUUGAAGACAGCAGCAGUAACAACACAUAUAUUUGAGAAGCUAGGCUGAGAACUGAUGCUGGUUCUGUCCUGAGCCCUGGAGGGAAUCGUCAGAUUGUUGGAUGUCCCCACUCCUGUGGCCUUGCCCAGUUCUGAACGUGGCGGAUAGAUAUGAUAUCAGAGAGCUUCCUGUCCGGGGGCUGUGGAAGAACAGGCGUGUCCCAGAUGAGCUGUGUGCAGGCACGCCUGGAAGCAAGGGGAUGAAUGGGAGACCCCAGCUCCUAUCGGUCCCAAACAGGUCUCCUUUCUGGCUCCUCUUAUCCAGUCACUGACUGAGCCCAAGUCCAGGUAGAAACUUGUCUGUCUGGAUUUCCAGGAUUGCCGAAGCCAUCUGCCGUCCAGGCCUAAGAGCUCUUGUGCAAAGAUGAAGCCAUGAUAACGGGCGCUAAGGGGCACAGGGCGUUUCAGCACAGAGGCCCAUCAGGGAGACGUAUGGCGGACGGGAUAACUUGCACGACGGAGUGGUGAGGGCAA
Molecule: non-coding RNA, 697 nt
Organism: Leptonychotes weddellii (Weddell seal)
Lineage: Eukaryota; Metazoa; Chordata; Mammalia; Carnivora; Phocidae
Source: RefSeq, a predicted model, not a curated record